GAACUGCGAUAAGUAAUGUGAAUUGCAGAAUUCAGUGAAUCAUCGAGUCUUUGAACGCACAUUGCGCCCCCUGGCAUUCCGGGGGGCAUGCCUGUCCGAGCGUCAUUGCUGCCCUUCAAGCCCGGCUUGUGUGUUGGGUCGUCGUCCCCUCCGGGGGACGGGCCCGAAAGGCAGCGGCGGCACCGCGUCCGGUCCUCGAGCGUAUGGGGCUUUGUCACCCGCUCGAUAAGGACCGGCCGGGCGCCAGCCGGCGUCUCCAACCUUUUUUUCUCAGGUUGACCUCGGAUCAGGUAGGGAUACGCGCUGAACAUAAGC
Molecule: unclassified non-coding RNA, 315 nt
Filed under: plant metagenome
Description: partial contains 5.8S ribosomal RNA, internal transcribed spacer 2, and large subunit ribosomal RNA
Rfam family: 5.8S ribosomal RNA (bases 1-105)
Source: RNAcentral